GAUUAAAAUAAUAAUAAUUUAUAAUAUAUGUCUACCUAAAAACGAGACAAAAACGUUUCAUGGACAAACUAAUCAUUGGUGAUUUCGUCAUGGAAAGUAGCAGACGGGAGCCAAUCAGAGCUACGUUUGUUGCUAGAAGGCGGUGCAUACAAACGGAGAUCCAAUCAUAGCGAACAUGUGACCUGUAAUAGAAUAAAUAGAAGAAGCAUGGAGCUAAUAGUGGAAAUAUUCUGGUCCACUGGUGGUCAAACCAUGUCAGGUGGAACAGAUCUAACUUUACGUUAGUGAAGCCAAGACUGUACGGAACGACUAGGCGAGAAAGGAUAAGAACGACAAAUUUGAGGCGUCAUCUCCAGACACGUCAUCAUGAGAGUCACACAUAGAAAAGACAAAAAAACAAGUGAACGUUGCCAAAGUGACCGCCGACGGUCCGAGCUUUCGCACCUCCUGAAGUACGUCGUACCUCCUGUGGAGACUGCUUCAAACUGCUCCGUGAGAAGCCACACCUCCCACAGAAGUGUCAGCACGUUCAUCACCAUCAUGACCGCUACCCAGAAUUCCUCUCCUAACAAAGUGAGCCACAGUGACAAACUGUGACCUCCCGACGGCACCUUUUUAAACAGGUAAAUGUAUAAAUGAAGAUCACUUUAAAGGGAAGCAGACAGUGAAGCACAGCACAUAAAAGAGGACAACACGUAAUUGAUUGCCAGCAAAGUCCAGAAGGAAUCCUGACUCCAGGAUUGUCAAUUGCCAAUCCCAGCAGUCACUGCAUGAGACAAGUUACACCCUGGAUAAUGCAGCUACAGCAUCGCAGGACACAUGGAGAUAAGUAACCAUUCAAACUCACACUCACACCUAUCCUCAGUUUGUAGAGGGAGGAGAUCCUUUUGCUGUAAGGCAGGAAACCUGAUCCUAUUUCCUCACCAUGAAUACCCUAAAAUCACAUGGACGUUUCUCCCUGGCUGCUUCCUCCAGAGGUCACCUCAACUGAUCACCUGCCUUUCUCUCAUCCUUAUCUCUUUCCUCAUCUACUGUUACACCAACCUUCUUAUCAGCAUCUCCAGAUUGCUCAGUUUACUCUCUUUGGUUUCUAUUUGACAUCAACAAAGAUAAUACCCUGUGUGAUGCACAGUUAUAUACUGCAGUAAAUAAAAAGAGUAAAGAACACCUACCC
Molecule: long non-coding RNA, 1174 nt
Organism: Cynoglossus semilaevis (tongue sole)
Lineage: Eukaryota; Metazoa; Chordata; Actinopteri; Pleuronectiformes; Cynoglossidae
Exons: 4
Source: RefSeq, a predicted model, not a curated record